GGAAUAUUGGACAAUGGGCGCAAGCCUGAUCCAGCCAUGCCGCGUGAGUGAUGAAGGCCUUAGGGUUGUAAAGCUCUUUCACCGAUGAAGAUAAUGACGGUAGUCGGAGAAGAAGCCCCGGCUAACUUCGUGCCAGCAGCCGCGGUAAUACGAAGGGGGCUAGCGUUGUUCGGAAUUACUGGGCGUAAAGCGCACGUAGGCGGAUAUUUAAGUCAGGGGUGAAAUCCCGCAGCUCAACUGCGGAACUGCCUUUGAUACUGGGUAUCUUGAGUAUGGAAGAGGUAAGUGGAAUUCCGAGUGUAGAGGUGAAAUUCGUAGAUAUUCGGAGGAACACCAGUGGCGAAGGCGGCUUACUGGUCCAUUACUGACGCUGAGGUGCGAAAGCGUGGGGAGCAAACAGGAUUAGAUACCCCGG
RNAcentral lists this ribosomal RNA (415 nucleotides) under uncultured Rhizobium/Agrobacterium group bacterium. RNAcentral describes it as "bacterial SSU rRNA". It matches the Rfam family "Bacterial small subunit ribosomal RNA", at positions 358 to 790 of the family's 1533-position model. Lineage: Bacteria; Pseudomonadati; Pseudomonadota; Alphaproteobacteria; Hyphomicrobiales; Rhizobiaceae. The record is from RNAcentral.